RNAcentral lists this ribosomal RNA (300 nucleotides) under uncultured Slackia sp. RNAcentral's name for it is "bacterial SSU rRNA". It matches the Rfam family "Bacterial small subunit ribosomal RNA", at positions 496 to 795 of the family's 1533-position model. Lineage: Bacteria; Bacillati; Actinomycetota; Coriobacteriia; Eggerthellales; Eggerthellaceae. The record is from RNAcentral.
GCGAACGACGUGCAAGGGGGCGCGGUAGUGCGUGGGGGGCGAGCGGUAUCCGGAAUUAUUGGGCGUAGAGUGCUCGUAGGCGGUGUGGGGCGUCGGGCGUGAAAGGCCGGGGCUUAACCCCGGAUCUGCGGUGGGUACGGGCAGACUAGAGUGCAGUAGGGGAGACUGGAAUUCCUGGUGUAGCGGUGGAAUGCGCAGAUAUCAGGAGGAACACCGAUGGCGAAGGCAGGUCUCUGGGCUGUAACUGACGCUGAGGAGCGAAAGCAUGGGGAGCGAACAGGAUUAGAUACCCUAGUAGUC